UAGCAGAGGGUGCAAACGUUUGCUACGGGAAUCAUUGGGCGUAAAGCGCAACGUAGGCGGCCCAGACAAGUGGGGAGUGAAAGCCCUCGGCUUAAACCGAGGAAGUGCUUUCCAAAACUACUGGGCUUGAAUACUGGAGGAAGGGUCGCGGAAUUCCCGGUGUGAGAAGGUGAAAUUCGUAGAUAUCGGGAGGAACACCAGUGGCGAAGGCGGCGUCC
Molecule: ribosomal RNA, 218 nt
Filed under: uncultured bacterium
Lineage: Bacteria
Description: partial 16S ribosomal RNA
Rfam family: Bacterial small subunit ribosomal RNA
Source: RNAcentral